RNAcentral lists this ribosomal RNA (1372 nucleotides) under uncultured bacterium. RNAcentral's name for it is "bacterial SSU rRNA". It matches the Rfam family "Bacterial small subunit ribosomal RNA", at positions 29 to 1394 of the family's 1533-position model. The record is from RNAcentral.
UUGAACGCUGGCGGCAUGCCUUACACAUGCAAGUCGAACGGCAGCAUGAUCUAGCUUGCUAGAUUGAUGGCGAGUGGCGAACGGGUGAGUAAUACAUCGGAACGUGCCCUGUAGUGGGGGAUAACUAGUCGAAAGAUUAGCUAAUACCGCAUACGACCUGAGGGUGAAAGUGGGGGACCGCAAGGCCUCAUGCUAUAGGAGCGGCCGAUGUCUGAUUAGCUAGUUGGUGGGGUAAAGGCCCACCAAGGCGACGAUCAGUAGCUGGUCUGAGAGGACGAUCAGCCACACUGGGACUGAGACACGGCCCAGACUCCUACGGGAGGCAGCAGUGGGGAAUUUUGGACAAUGGGCGAAAGCCUGAUCCAGCAAUGCCGCGUGUGUGAAGAAGGCCUUCGGGUUGUAAAGCACUUUUGUCCGGAAAGAAAUGGCUCUGGUUAAUACCUGGGGUCGAUGACGGUACCGGAAGAAUAAGGACCGGCUAACUACGUGCCAGCAGCCGCGGUAAUACGUAGGGUCCAAGCGUUAAUCGGAAUUACUGGGCGUAAAGCGUGCGCAGGCGGUUGUGCAAGACCGAUGUGAAAUCCCCGAGCUUAACUUGGGAAUUGCAUUGGUGACUGCACGGCUAGAGUGUGUCAGAGGGGGGUAGAAUUCCACGUGUAGCAGUGAAAUGCGUAGAGAUGUGGAGGAAUACCGAUGGCGAAGGCAGCCCCCUGGGAUAACACUGACGCUCAUGCACGAAAGCGUGGGGGAGCAAACAGGAUUAGAUACCCUGGUAGUCCACGCCCUAAACGAUGUCAACUAGUUGUUGGGGAUUCAUUUCCUUAGUAACGUAGCUAACGCGUGAAGUUGACCGCCUGGGGAGUACGGUCGCAAGAUUAAAACUCAAAGGAAUUGACGGGGACCCGCACAAGCGGUGGAUGAUGUGGAUUAAUUCGAUGCAACGCGAAAAACCUUACCUACCCUUGACAUGCCACUAACGAAGCAGAGAUGCAUUAGGUGCUCGAAAGAGAAAGUGGACACAGGUGCUGCAUGGCUGUCGUCAGCUCGUGUCGUGAGAUGUUGGGUUAAGUCCCGCAACGAGCGCAACCCUUGUCUCUAGUUGCUACGAAAGGGCACUCUAGAGAGACUGCCGGUGACAAACCGGAGGAAGGUGGGGAUGACGUCAAGUCCUCAUGGCCCUUAUGGGUAGGGCUUCACACGUCAUACAAUGGUGCAUACAGAGGGUUGCCAAGCCGCGAGGUGGAGCUAAUCCCAGAAAAUGCAUCGUAGUCCGGAUCGUAGUCUGCAACUCGACUACGUGAAGCUGGAAUCGCUAGUAAUCGCGGAUCAGCAUGCCGCGGUGAAUACGUUCCCGGGUCUUGUACACACCGCC